CUUGUUACAGCCUGCUACCAUCAGCCCACAUCAUAUUCUGCCUCUUCUUCCUCCUUGCUGCUGCUAACCUAGUGAAACCAUUUCCCUCCAUCCUAUGUCAUCCAAACCAGAAAUCCUAAACUCUUCUUGUCUCUCUGCCUGUGGCAUUUGUACGGAGCCCCCGGUCGUCUCACGGACUAUUGACCCCUACACCACUAAUCCGCUGCCACCAACCAGGUCAUCCCCGGUAAAAUCACUUCAGCCUCAGUCAGGUUCUCAAUUAAUAAAGAAGAGUGUAUUUUAUUUCAGACACAAACAAACUUUUCCGGCAUUCCAAACAUUGUUACUCUUUACUUUCUUAGUCUUAUUUUCCUCUCUCUAUCUCUUCUACCUCCCCUCACUCAAGAACCCACUGCCCUAACUGUCUCUCUAUUUCCAACUGCCUGCCAGCUGCUUCUCCAACUGCCUUUCCCAACCAGCCAACCCACUAAAACCAACCAACUACCCACCAACAAUUCCCAACAACUCAAACCUCGGGCUAAGCCCUUUUAUACACAGGUAGGCUCUGCCUCCGGCUUUCCUAUUGGUCUAUAUUUUUAACCCUAUCUCUACCCCCUGUUCAAACAUUUUCUAAAUGAACGGGCAAACGCCACACUGCCCACUAACACACAGCUGCAGGAGGGGCCCCACACCAGCAGGAGACUUUGUUCCUCCAAUGAUCCCCACUCAGUUAGUUCUGCCAAGCUGGCCUGGCUCGCUAGCAUAAGCUGAAUCCAGGAGUUUCUGUGUUCAGCACGGUUUAGUCCAACCUUGAUUAAUUCUAACUUUUACUAAAGUCAAGAGUUAUGAGUGACUUACACCCACAUGCUCUGGCACCCAGAACCUAUAACAGUAUUAAAUCGAAUGCUCAGAGAACCGUGUCAUGAGUUUCCAUUCCAAGAAUUUGGCAUUAAUAUUGAAGAAGUGCAGUGCAUCUUGUGAGUGAGCAGAAGGGAUCCUUGAUCAUCCCAUAUGGUCACACACACUAACAACAUUUUGAAAAUAAAUAUCGGUCCAGAGAAUAUGCUUACUUUGAAAGGCAAAAUAGGAUUUGGUGUUUUACUAGGGACAGGUGUCCCCUCCAAAAAAGAAAAAGGGGGAAAGAGGCUUUCUCUAGUAAUUAGAGGCUUUUGUUUUUGUUUUAAAAUAUAGACCACUUACAAGUAUUGAACAAUAUACAACGUAACCUGAAAUAUGUUUAUCAUAAAAAACAUAAUCGAAAAAAUGAAGCAGCAGAAGUCUGUGAGAACAUAGAGGUAUCAAAUUCAACCUUAAGGCAAAAGGGUAUGUUUCCAAGAGGCACCAAAAGCAAAUAAUUCAUGGUGCCUUGUGAGGUUCAGAGGAAAGGAAUGCAGAAUAAAUGAAUUCAAAGUGCAUUUAAACACACACACCCAAAAUCUCCUGGGAACUGUAGUCUGUUAGAGGUGCUUGGAAUUGUAGCUUUUUAAGUAGAAAACUACAGUUCCCAGGUUUUUUGUAGGGGAGUGCUUUAAAUGUAAAAUGUGUCCAUAGCCUGAGUUGAAAGUACAAAUUUCACAUCUGUGCAUCUGUAGAUGUUUGGAUGUCCAGAUGUUUUGCAGAAGCAUUGGCAAGACUAUUGAUCCCUUUAAAACAGGAACUGCUCUCCUGCAGUUCUUGUUCGGAAGAUGCUUUGUCAAGAUGGCUUGGAUACCAAUGACAUUUAUUGGAAUUAUAAUUGACUUCAUGAUUUGUUUCUCCUACAGCUUGUUGGCCAAGUGAGUUUGACUGGUUGGCUCAGAGAGGGGGGGGGGGAAGUGUUGCCCUGGAGUUUCCAAUAUGAAGGAUGAUUGAUUGAGAAGCUAUUUGAGCAGACACUGUUCAGAUGACAAGAACACUUGAUUUACUCGCAGUCGCUAGCUGUAACUGGGAGCUGAGUACAUGCUCAAAGGCUUAAAGUGACAACUGCAAUAGAAUAACCCUCAUGUCUUAGCCCAAAAUAUCCCUCGGCUAUGAACUUCACAGCUGUCUUAUUGUCCUACUCUGUACAAUAAUUUAAGAAGAAUAAGAGAUUGCUCUCUGAUUACUAAUGGUGCCUGAGGCCCAGAUCUCAACAGAGGUACACAACACCUUUUGAAAGCAAUGUAAGGAUGUAGAAAAAAUUGUUUUUCAGUGCCAGCCAAGCUAAUUCACAGUUCCUGGACCUAUGAGCUGAUGAGAAAAUAGCUAACAAUGGCUAAACACCUAUGUAGUUUGUGAUGCCUACAGAAAUCUGUAUUUUAGGGGCAAAUGCUUACAGAAUUUGUACAGAAUGUGUGUAUUAGGGAAGAGUGUGCAUAAAAUUGCAUAGAACUUAAAUGCAAUUUAGACAGAAUGGGGUUAACAAAUAAACUGUGGUGAAUGGAAUGGAAAGGUAUUUAUUUUUGAAUGCGUAUGAAACUGACACAGAAGAGGAAUAAACUGAUAUAUUCCAUCCCUAAGUUUAUGCAAUCGUUCUUUCUUUUCCUUCUUUCCAAAGCACUUGUAGACCCAGCUGACCUAAGCAACUUGGUUGCUAACAGAAUGAAAUAUCUGUCUCUACAAAUCUGAAGGGUACAAACCUCCUGGCAGUACCCAGUCAUUCUUACACGGAGCUCAUUUGGACAUCGCUGAACAUUCAUUCUGCAGCUGUCCUUGAACCACCUCUGCGAACGCAAACACAAGGAAAUGGAGCCACUCGCCUUUUCCUCGACUGAAACACCAAGCGGGUGUUGCUUUUGCAGAACCACAGUGGUUUUAAGAAUGCCGAAAGAAUGUACCAAUUCUUGUCGUCACCACUUUAAGGGCAGAAUGAGGGUUUUAAUCUGUGUUAGCUAAUCCCUGGUUUGGUUCUUGUUAUCAUUUAAUUUGGAAUAAAAUGUGAUGGCACAGGUGGGGUUCUGCAACAAAAUGGUGCAGCAUGGAAUGCUUCUGUUGAGGGUUCCAUUCCAUUUCCUGCCCCACCCCUUAAUUCUCGUCUCCAACGCUCAGUUAGUAUCCCGUGACAACGUAGUGAUGGUAGGCAGGGGAAUGGGGGAAUCAGAUGAGCGACUGUUAGGGAAUCUUACGAUAAAGGGCAGAGUGAUGCUACUUUUGUUACUACUUUGGUUAUAACUAAUGUUACACAUAUUACUAGUUACACAUUACUAAUGUGGGUGGUGCUGUGGGUUAAACCACACAAACUAGGGCUUGCCGAUCAGAAGGUCGGCGGUUUGAAUCCCUGCAACAGGGUGAGCUCCCGUUGCUCGGUCCCUGCUCCUGCCAACCUAGCAGUUCAAAAGUAUGUCAAAGUGCAAGUAGAUAAAUAGGUACCGCUCCGGCGGGAAGGUAAAUGGCAUUUCCGUGUGCUGCUCUGGUUCGCCAGAAGUGGCUUAGUCAUGCUGGCCACAUGACCCGGAAGCUGUAUGCCGGCUCCCUCGGCCAGUAAAGCGAGAUGAGCGCCACAGCCCCAGAGUCGGUCAUGACUGGACCUAAUGGUCAGGGGCCCCUUUACCUUUACCUAAUGUUACACAUAAGCAAUGACCCUGACAGCUUGAAGAUUGGAAACAGGGGGAAGGAUAAGUCGCUUUUCCGCACAAAGGCAUCCGACACAAUCUACAAAGUUUGAAGCCAAACACAACAUUGGUCACAUUUCUAUUAUCUGCUCUGCAUUUAACAAAAGUCGGUGGGAGACUGUUUUCCAGCCUAAUUGCCAGGGAGGGAGGCAUCCUUUGAGGUGACUUGCAGGGGGAAGGGAGCAAUAACCCUCUCUGUGUGCUGUGAGUUUCAUGACGAUCACCUCCUCCUGCCAAUUAGGCUUGAAAAUAUUUCAAGUGCUUUUUCCCCAAGCCUAAUUGCUGCUGUGGAGUGUGUGAGAGGGUAUGAAUCUCCCUCCCUCCCCUUCUCUCUCUUUCUGUGUAUGCAUUAGAGAGAGCAAUGGAAAAAGUUUGUGUACGUUGCAUUGGGCUGACUGGCACAUGAUCCCCAGAAGAUUAAUCCUGAGGGAAUGAGGUCCUCAUGCUAAAAGGGGGUUUCCUGUUCCUGAUUCCUGACAAUGCUGGGCCAGAUGGACCAAUGGUGUGAUUCUGCGUAAGCUAACUUUCAAUAUUCCAGGCAGGGUUUCCAUUAUACAUUUACUCUCUUGUGAAAAGCUUUCUGCCAGAAGAAAGUACAGUGGUACCUUGGGUUCUUAACCUGAAACUGUUCUUAACCUGAAGCACCACUUUAGCUAAUGGGGCCUCCCACUGCCGCUGUGCCGCCGGAGCAUGAUUUCUGUUCUCAUCCUAAAACAAAGUUCUUAACCCGAGGUACUAUUUCUGGGUUAGCGGAGUCUGUAACCUGAAGUGCAUGUAACCUGAAGCGUAUGUAACCCGAGGUACCACUGUAACACAAAAGAAAGGGUUCUAGAUAGUCCUCUGCUAGUUGUCUACUUGUAGGGAGUUGUGUGGCUUCCUUCCUUCCUUCCUUCCUUCCUUCCUUCCUUCCUUCCUUCCUUCCUUCCUUCCGAAAUGAUAAUCCCCCUUGCCUUCCAAAGUGAUCAAUGCAUUCUACCAUCUCUGGAUUGCAUGGCGAAGCCCCAGGCCCUGCAAUUCCCUUAGAUAAUAAACACACAGACACAAAUGUUUAGGAGGUUAAUGGGAUAAAAUAGGCCACAACUUUAUUGGUUACAGAUGUGAGUGGUUUGGCUUAGGCAUCCAGACUAUAUCCUGGCUCCUGCCCAUCUGCAGAGAGUCUCAUAAGGUUAAAUCACCGGUAGGGGGAGCCCUAUGAUAUAAUAGGGCACCCCCAGGGUCUCCGAUAGGGUCAUGGCAUGGCCUUAGUUCACGCCCAGGUUUUGGACAGGAUCCACACCCCCAGAUCCAAUUAAUGGGAUACCCUUAACGAGGAGGGGCAGGCGGAGGCAAUAACCUCCCUUCCCAUAAACAAGACUUACUCAAUGCCUAACCUUACAAAGUUGUGACGAUUGCUACAAGGUAAGCGAAAUCCAAAUGGCUGGUGCCAAUUUGCCAGGUGGAAAAAUCCCUACUGGACUGCCAGUUGAUUUGUGUGGGGUCUUCCCAAUAAAGAGAACCUUGAAAGCAAACUCCCCACCCUAGCAAGAGCUGGCUUCUUGCAGUCAUUUAUCUAGGCAACCUUCUCCAUCAAGGAGGUCUUGUUCCAAUGCACAUUAGCAGCGGCUGGCUGGAAAUGUUUAAUGCCCAUUUCCUGGCUGUGUGCCAAUCAGGACAAAAAACUGAGAAGGGAGGAAGAAAGAGCAGCAAGGAGUGGAGGAAACCAUUUGGCUUCAUUUCAGGAUAUUAAAUGUUGGCUCUGGUGCCAACCUUUCGUUGUUGUUGCUUUUGUUUUGUGUGUGUGUGUGUGUUUUGGGGAGUGUCUUAAUUUCAGAUUCAUGGCUGGAUUUCAUCACCAAUAGGGGAUACACCGUGAAAGCAAAUGCAGAUCUGAUUGCCUCCUUUUGUUUGCUUUUCUUCCGAGGGAAAUGAACUAUCUUUAGCUGCUCAGAAGUUUGAAAUAACAAAAGGCUUCCCCUCCCCUGUAACACAGCUGGCAAGGGACCCCUCCCCCAAUUUCUUAAUACCUUGAUAUCUGGAGCCAUCCUAGCAAACUAAUGCUGGUGCAAAUAGGUGGGAAGCCCCAGCAAAAUCCCCUGAUAUUGAAGUGCUUCUGAGUAGACCAGAAUGCUGGAGAAAUAUUUACUGAACAAUAAAACACAAAAACACUACCUUUGGCCACAAUAAGUUACAGUCAAAACUCCCACCUUGGCCCAGACUGUAAGGAAUUACCAAGUGCCCAGAGAAUGAGUCUUGAAAGGGGAAGUUGGUUUUGCAAAGGAAGAAAACACCUGGGAAAAUUGGGAGCAAAUUUGAGCACAGAGCUAAUGCCCACCCCCCACCCCCGACUGCUAAUGCUCCCUCAUGAUGCAUUUGACACCAUGGCUAUAAACAAUUAGAGACAAAGCACAGUGAUGAGCCAAUGUGUAUUCUCCUCCACCCACACUUUGAGUACCGUAUUUUUUGCUUUAUAAGACUCACUUUUUCCCUCCUAAAAAGUAAGGGGAAAUGUAUGUGCGUCUUAUGGAGUGGAUGCAGUCUGUGCAGCUAUUGCAGAAGCCACAACAGCAAGAGGAAUUGCUGCUUUCACUGCGCAGCAAUCCCUCUUGCUGUUCUGGCUUCUGAGACUCAGAAUAUUUUUUUUCUUGUUUUCCUCCUCCAAAAACUAGGUGCGUAUUGUGGUCUGGUGCGUCCUAUAGAGCAAAAAAUACGGUGCAUGCUCAUUGAUCCAUUUGAUUCUUUCCCCACUUCAUUGCCUUCUCCCCAAGAGCAUACAUUGCCUCUCCCUUAAGCCUCCUUUGGGACAUGAACCAAUCAGAUGGAGAGACAACACAAUUCAUUGGCAGAGCAAACCCUUUGCAAAAAGAAGGUCUCAGGUUCAGUGCCUGACACUUCCAGUUUAAGAAAAGAAGGUCCAGUUACCGGAUAAGGAGAGCAGGCACAAUUCUGCUCAGCUGAAUACUUCCCUGGAGCUCAGUGGUAGAGAAGAUAUUUUGUGUGUUGAAGGUGCCCGAUUCCAUUCCUGGCAUUCCCUGUUAAAAUGAUCAGAUUGGUUGGAGCAUGGGGCUGAUAACAACACGGUUAUCCCAAGUAUGGGAUAACUUCAUAUUCCUGCAUUGCAGGGCUUGGACUACUAGAAGAUGCUCAGGGUCCCUUCCAGCUCUGUGAUUCUAUGAAUUCUAUGUGACAGACUUCUUCUUGAUUCCUGGAGAGUGGCUGCCAGUCAGAGUACACAACAUUGGGCUUGGCAGACAAAUAUUCUGAGCUGGUCUGAGGCAGCUUCCCAUGUGUGAUUUCUUACAAGUUUCAAGAGGUUGUUGUUGUUGUUGUUGUUGUUUAGUCAUUUAGUCAUGUCCGACUCUUCAUGACCUCAUGGACCAGAGCACGCCAGGCACUCCUGUCUUCCACUGCCUCCCGCAUUUUGGUCAGACUCAUGCUGGUAGCUUCGAGAACACUAUCCAACCAUCUCGUCCUCUGUCGUCCCCUUCUCCUUGUGCCCUCCAUCUUUCCCAACAUCAGGGUCUUUUCCAGGGAGUCUUCUCUUCUCAUGAGCUUCACGAUCUGUCCUUCCAGUGAGCACUCAGGGCUGAUUUCCUUAAGAAUGGAUAGGUUUGAUCUUCUUGCAGUCCAUGGGACUCUCAAGAGUCUCCUCCAGCACCAUAAUUCAAAAGCAUCAAUUCUUCAGUGAUCAGCCUUCUUUAUGGUCCAGCUCUCACUUCCAUACAUCACUACUGGGAAAGCAGUGUCAUACAUCAAGAGGUAAGCAGUGUCAAAAGACAUUGUGCAGCCCAGCUGAGGCACCCCCAAAUUUCCCUAGUAAUAAACUGAUUAAUAUUUCAGUCGAGCCCUCUAGUAUAGUAAAUACAACCUGAGCAGUUUCCCUCCAAAGCCAGCUUCUCCUCACAGCAGUGAUAGACAGCCUGGGCUGUCAAGAUGGCGUCUCUUUCUUUUAAGAUGGGAGCUUGCAAUGUCAAGCAGGCCAAGCCAGGUUCAUCACAGUAUUUGAAACAUUUCCAAAUUGCUUCUGGUGUUUGCAUAUACAUGCUGAUAUGGCUGGUUUGAGUUAUACUCAGGAUUCCUAUCAUGGCAGACAGUAAUGAACUGCAGGCUUUGAUACUGGGAAAGCAUCCUUAUCCCCUUUUCAGGUUAAUUAAGCAGCUUCUGGCUCCCCUUCUAGCUCAGUCCCUAUAGAUGCAUUUGGAACACAAUGUUUAUUGAUGGAUCAAUUAGGAGAGAAGCUUCUCCAAGCGUUAGUUAACAAAAAAUGUUGGGGGGGGGGGAGGAUUUCACAGUAAUGUUAGAAAUAAUUUCCUACUUUCCGGAACAGAGGGAUCUGUCCUUAUUUUAGCUUCCUUCUAUCCCCAGCCCUAGUUAUCCCUGUGUGAUUUAGAGAUUGCCCCAUCACCUCUCAUCCUGCUUUACCUUCCAUGCUCACUUUGGCUUCGUAGCACAUGAGCCUAAUUAUUCUUUCCCCCAAAAGUGAGACUCAUAAUAUUCUGCUCUUGAACAUGAGCACAUGCAAGCCAACCAUUCUGGAAGCUCUCUUAAUUUUGCCAGCCACAAAGCUUCAAUCUACCCACUUCAAACAGAUCCAGAAAUCAAAGGAGGUGAAAUUAGAAAGCGAUGAUUCCCCACACCCCAAUAUAUGCUCUGAAUUUCUCUCUCUAAUUGUACAGUUUUGGGUUAAACCACAGAGCCUAGGACUUGCUGAUCAGAAGGUCGGCGGUUUGAAUCCCCGUGACAUGGUGAGCUCCCGUUGCUCAGUCCCUGCUCCUGCCAACCUAGCAGUUGAAAAGCACGUCGAAGUGCAAGUAGAUAAAUAGGUACCACUCUGGUGGGAAGGUAAACGGCGUUUCCAUGUGCUGCUCUGGUUCGCCAGAAGUGGCUUAGUCAUGCUGGCCACAUGACCCGGAAGCUGUACGCCGGCUCCCUCAGCCAAUAAAGCGAGAUGAGCGCCGCAGCCCCAGAGCCGGUCACUACUGGACCUAAUGGUCAGGGGUCCCUUUACCUUUACCUAAUCACUCUUUUAAAGAAACAAAUGUCAUAGUAUUUUUCUUUGUUCUCACCAUAUCUUAUCAUUAUUCAGAAAAAAUAUUAAUUCUUAUUUAAAAAAAUAAAAGCAAUUAAAAAAACCCUGAAUCAAAAUAUACACAAUGAUAAGAAUAUAUUAUGGGGAGGGUCUCAAUAGUAGAGUAUUUGCUUUGCAUUUAGGAAGACUCAGAUUCAAUCCCCAACAUCUUCAGAUAGGAUUGGGAGAGAAAUCCUAAACAGCUGCUGCCAGUCAGUGUAGGUAAUGCUAAGCAGUAUAAGGCAGCUUCCUAUGUUCCUAAUACAAUAUAAGAUACAGUUCUGAUUUACUGUAAAACUGACAGUAGAGAUAGCUAGGAUCAAUCCUCUGGGAAGGCUUGUCUGAAUUAAAACUUCUUCAAUAGGCACUGAAACUCCAGUGAGCCAUUUUUUGACUGUAAUCUUCUGCCUGAAGAACUAGUAAUUUGAAGUAAGUAUAACUUGAGUUUGUGGAUCAUAAAUUUUGGAUUAGCACUGUCCAAUCUGUCUUCGAAGGCAAGGGAUGAGAGGGAGAAUGCCAGUUUAGGGAUUACUCAGUGAAAAUAUAAACACAGACAUGUGCUUGGAAUAUUGAAAAUGGUACUAGAUAUUCGCACCUAACUUUGCUGAAACUGCAAUAGGCCAAGUAUUGUAUUUCUGAAUAUUCACUUGUGGCAAAAUGCUGCAUUUUUGACUAUGGCAUGUGAAUGAAUUGGUUCAGGGAAGGUGGAAAGAACAGGAAAGGGGGAUUGAUUCCAUCUGGCAUACUGUGAUGGAAUGAUCAACACAGUGUGGCAUUGAAUACCUCUCUAUGUUUUAUAUUUUACAGCCUAGCAAGCCACCUUAUGCUGGAUCAGGUCACUGAAUCUGAACAUAGGUGUAUGUUGCUCAGAAUUAUCUACAAUGAUUGGCCGCAAUGCUCCUACUUGGAGAUGCUGGGAAUUGAACCCAGAACCCUUUUCAUGCAAUGCCUAUGGCUAAGGCAAGUUAUAAAUAAGACAUACUAACAAGAAAGCACCUGUUCUUUGUACUGAUAAACUCCUGUGGAAGUGGUAAACAACAAGGUUAGUUGAUUAGACAUCGACUAUGUGAUUUGACAAAACUCAAAUGACUAAGUGAGGUCACGGUCUGCCACCUUUCUUGUUUCUUCUGACCGCAAAGCCAUUGAGCUGGUCUCUGAAGAGGACUGGAGGUUGUUUUCCGAGCAGCAAUAUGGCUUGUUGGAAGGUAGCAAAUAAAGUUCUUAAUGUUAUCACCAGUGUUUACAUAUCCGUUUUGUGGCACGACCACUCCAAGGAGAGCAGCCUGCCAGCUUUACAGUUGUACCUUGGGCUACAGACGCUUCAGGUUACAGACUCUGCUAACCCAGAUAGUACCUCAGAUUAAGAACUUUGCUUCAGGAUGAGAACAGAAAUCGUGCAGCAGCGGGAGGCCCCAUUAGCUAAAGUGAUACCUCAGGUUAAGAACAGUUUCCGGUUAAGAAUGGACCUCCAGAAUGAAUUAAGUUUUUAACCUGAGGUACCUCUAUAAAUGAAGAGAGUCGAUAAUACUUGCAACACCCCAAAUGAAGAGAUAAGACUCAAGUCUUCGGGGGAUUAAAAAUGAGCAACAACUUUCCUGGGGUUCUCUUUCCACUCCCUGCCCUCCAGUGUCGGGUGUCCAGUGUGAGGCAUAUUUGUCCUUCUUUCUCAGCAUUUUUGGGGUGAGCUCCAGGGCCUAUGCCUGCUAUUCCUCCUACCCGUAGUCCCACAUUUGUGUGCAGAGGAAAGUUUAGGGUUGUAUUCAUUGUAACACAAAGGAGAUUGCUUGACAGAACCCUUUCCCCUCUUCCCCCCACCACAAACUAUUCAGAGGGUUAUCUUGACCCUUUGGAGCAGAUUUGGGAAUGGUGUGGGGACAGAAGAGUGUGGGGAGAGACCCAUUGUGUUAGUACAAUGAUUUAGUUGAAUAGAGCCCUUACUCUCAUCAACACCCAUGGCUAGCCCAAAACAUUUUGGUACCAGAGGCAGAGCAGCUAGCUGUGCCCCUUUCCCUUCUAAACCAAGGUGCCCAGGGCUAGUAACACCUGGAGCAAAAAACAAGUCCUACAUGCAGAAAAGCCUCCUCCCUAGCAGUAGAAAAUACAAUAAUAACAAGACAAACUAAUGAUUUGCUGCCUUCUCAUGACAGCCAUAAUCCACCGCCUGAGGUAGCUGUUUCACUGUCUAAUGGUAGGACCAGCCUUAUUAAAACUCCAUGAAUCUUGUUGGGUUUGUAUGGAUGAGUUGAUGGACCUCAAGGUAAGGCCCUGCUCUUAUUCCUUCUAGCCUCAUGGCACUGAAAGUUCAGGUCUGAGGAAGCCUCCCUUUCCCUGAAAAGAUGUCACAUGGUGCUCGCCAAAUGUUGAUUUCUGUUUUCUUCCCCUGAACCAGCACAGAAUCUUUAGCCCUUCCGAUAUUGCUGAACUACAACAACCGUCAUCCCUGGCCACUUGCCAUACUUCCUAAGGUUAAUAGGACUUGGACUACCUCAGGAGAACUAAAGAUUCCCCACACCUGAUGCCGAUUCCCCCUGCCACUGCCGCCACACACGUGAGGUAAAAUAUUUCCAUGCAGUCCCAGUAACAGACAACUACUUGAAUCCACACACUGUUUCCAUACAAACCAAAGGGAGAGAAGGGAGGUGCAUCUCUGAUUUUAAAGACUCUGCAUGUGGCUGUACUGCAAGUCGCUCUUCAUUCUGUCAUCCUCCUGAGGUGUUGGGUGCAAAACUGCUCCCCUUCAACGCCCAACCUGAGGGUUCCCUGGCAAAGCGGAGUCAUAAAAAAUAAAUGCCAAGAUUCUGUUCCAGCGCCCCUUUGAUUCUGCCCAGAUUGUGGCAUGAUGACAACCGUUCCGUAUUAAAGGCAUUAAGAGUCACAAAGACCUCACGCUGACCUCUUAAAUCCAGAUAAUAACAAAGGAACAUCAAGGUCCUUGCCCUUUGAAACUCAUGUAAUGCCAGCAGAUGAAGCGGCAAAUCAUCUCAAGGGACUGUAUUGAAGCCUAAAUAUCUGAGAUUGAUUCAGCUGAGCUCUGGCAGAUGUGCCAAGGCCUUGGGCUGGGGAGCUGCAUGUGCUUUUGUGCACCCGGGUGACACUUGGAUCAAAGCUAUUGUUUUGUUUUUUUAAAAAAGAGGCACCAUCAUUUCCCAACAGCUGUCCAUGUUUUUCUUUACAAAUUACACUACACGAGGGCAAGUCAUAUGACACUGCUCCUACAGGACAGCCACAGGGAAAAGAGGAGCUUGGCCUGACUUCUACUGCCAGUGACCCAUGCUUGGAUGAUCUGAGCAUGUGCUGUGGCAACAUGGAGUUGUUUUGGUGCACUACAGUUUAGGCAUGUGGCAGAAGCAGCUGGAAAUCAGUACGGAAUAUAUAUUUCUCUUGAAAUGCUGACCGCCAUGCUUUGAAAUGAUUGUGUGGCUCACCCAACAUGCGUGCGUGCACAUGCACACAUACACGCACACGCAUACACACACACACACACACACACACACACACAAACACAUCCUAUCGUUCAGCCCGGACACUGAGGUCCAGCUCUGAGGGCCUUCUGGCAGUUCCCUCACUGUGAGAAGUGAAGUUACAGGGAACCAGGCAGUGGGCCUUGUCUGUAGUGGCACCCGCCCUGUGGAACACCCUCCCACCAGAUGUCAAGGAAAUAAACAACUAUCUGACUUUUAGAAGACAUCUGAAGGCAGCCCUGUUUAGGGAAGUUUUUGAUGUUUUAUCGCUUUAUUAUUAUUAUUAUUAUUAUUAUUAUUCGGCUGGGAGUCACCAAGAGUGGCUGGGGAACCCAAGCCAGAUGGGUGGGGUAUAAAUAAUAAACUAUGAUGAUGAUGAUGAUGAUGAUGAUGAUGAUGAUGAUGAUGAUGCCAUACUAGGGAUGAACCUACCUAAUUUUCCUUUUCUGAAAUAACACGCAAACAGAAACACAGCUAUCCUUUGAAAUGUGCAUUUCUCAUUUUGAAAAACCAUUCAUUGCAAUUUUCUGACUAAUCAUUAUCCCACUACCACUCCCUAGACUCCCAGCCUUGUUCCCUUGGGGGUGCCUCAUCUGGUUCCUCCCACCACUCCUCUGCAUCCUACCAGUCCAUGACAUCGUGCCAUCAGCAGACUCUUCUUAUGAACAUUAUGAUGCCUGCCUGAAACCCAGAAGAGUCACUGCCAGUCAGUGUAGAUGAUACUAAGCUAGCUAGAGCAACGGUCUGACUCAGUAUGAGGCAGUUCCCUACCUUCCUGCGGAGCUAAGCAAGCAGAGAGUUCCAGUGGCCACGACAGUGGUGAGUUUUGAGAAUUUCCAUUCCACCUUAAGGAGCAGACGUGUGGAACUGUUGCGUGUCACAUGUCUGUUUACAUUCCAGCACAUCUUGCUGGGAACUUCCAUUGUG
Non-coding RNA from Podarcis lilfordi (Lilford's wall lizard), 12980 nucleotides. The record is from the annotation of a GenBank genome assembly. Lineage: Eukaryota; Metazoa; Chordata; Lepidosauria; Squamata; Lacertidae.